UUUUAAUGUCACCAUGUUUUGUAAUUUGCUUUCAUGUUGACUGUUAUGUUUGUAACUUAAUUUUUCUGAUCUUUUUGGUUUGUUUUUGAGCAUGUGUUACAGUUUUGCAGCAUAUAAGCGUGAAUAUGAGUAAGAGGCCGCCGCCUGAUCCUAUCGCUGUACUAAGAGGCCAUCGAGCUUCUGUGAUGGACGUUUGUUUCCAUUCAUCUAAUUCUAUACUAUUCACCGGUUCAGCUGAUGGUGAGUUGCGAAUUUGGGAUACGCAUCAACAUCGAACGGUCUCAUCUGCUUGGGUGCAUAGUGCAGCUCAUGGAAUUAUUUCUGUUGCCAGUAGUCCUGUGAUAGGCACUGACAAAGUUAUCAGUCAGGGUAGAGAUGGAACUAUUAAGGUUUGGGAUAUCAAAGAGGGAGGUCUUUCCAGGGUUCCUGCACUUACUGUCAAGACAAACUCAUACCAUUUCUGCAAGCUUUCUUUAGUGAAGAAGCCUUCUGGUAGUAAUGGGAAGCAAAAUGAAGAGCCUAGUCACCGCUAUAAGGAGGUGGCUACACAAUCUAUUGAUGAAAAAAAUUUGUAUGAUAGAGAAGAAAAGCACAAAGAAGAUUCUGUGAAUUGUUCUAGCACCUUUGAAGAUGAUGGUAAUGAUGGACCAAAGUGUGUUGCCAUAGCAGGGGAACAGUCUUCUGAGGUUGAGGUCUGGGAUCUUAAUACAGCAGAGAAGAUUUUGCGAUUACCUCAAAAUGGCUCUGGCGGUUCACCAAGUUCUACCAACAAAAGAGGGAUGUGCAUGGCUGUUCAAGUAUUCCUACCAUCAGAGUCACAGGGAUUUCUAAAUGUCUUGGCUGGAUACGAGGAUGGUUCUAUGCUUUGGUGGGAUAUGCGAAAACCAAGUAUUCCUCUAACUUCUGUAAAGUUUCAUAUAGAGCCAGUUCUAAGCCUAUGCAUCGACGGUUUGUGCAAGGGGGGUAUCUCUGGGGCUGCUGAUGAUAAAAUUGUGUUAUUUAGCUUAGAUCUUGCCAUGGGUUCUUGCAUGAUCAAGAAAGAGAUUACCUUGGAACGACCUGGUGUAUCAGGCACCUCAAUUAGAGCAGAUGACAAAAUUGCCGCAACUGCUGGGUGGGAUCACAGAGUCAGGAUAUAUAAUUACCGCAAAGGAAAUGCUUUGGCCAUUCUGAAGUACCACCAUGCUACGUUGCUUAGGCAUGGGUGCAUAUGAUUGUUAGAUAUUUCUUGCUUCAAUGCUUGCCUUAGCAGAGUUGCUGAACUUGUGUAAUGCGGUCUCAUAUUCACCUGAUUGUAAGUUAAUGGCAUCUGCCUCAGAAGACUCUACAGUUGCACUGUGGGAACUGUAUCCUCCUCAAACUUGAAGUAAUAGAAUGUUCAUUGAUACUAAUUGGCACGUAGCUGGGUUCUGAUAAGAUCAGCAUAUACGAUUCCUCAUCCUGCUUUCGGCAUCAAGUUGCUGAAUAGUUCUAGUGUCACGUCCUUCGAGGGGCUGUUUCAAUUCCAUGAAGAAAAUUAUAGAAGCAAGUGUACUGUAGGCUUUGAUCCUUGAACUUGUUUUAAGUUAUGUAAAUUAACAUGUUUCUUUCUUUCUUUCUUUCUUUCUUUCUUUCAAUGGUAGGUGUUUCUUAUAAUGCAACUGCUAUUUUAACGUUUUUUCUUUUUAGCUUUGGACUAAAUUGUCUUCUGUUCAAAAUAAGUCAAUGAUAAAAUCGCUCUUAGGUGCA
RNA transcript from Jatropha curcas, 1728 nucleotides. It is a transcript of the gene named Transducin/WD40 repeat-like superfamily protein, with no coding region annotated. The record is from RefSeq and is a predicted model, not a curated record. Lineage: Eukaryota; Viridiplantae; Streptophyta; Magnoliopsida; Malpighiales; Euphorbiaceae.